GUGUGAGUACACUGUAUGUCAAUACAAGAGGUGUAUUAGCAUGAAUUGUCUGUUUGUGAAUGUAGGGGUAUAUUUGUGUGGAAUAUCUGAGGAGUGUGAAUGCUGGAGUGUGUUUGCCUAGAGUUGUGUGAAUGCAGGGGUGUGUUUAUGUGAAGUGUCUACACAUCCAGGCUCCUAUUUGCCCCUUUCUACACCCUUCAUGCUCCCUUAUA
Non-coding RNA from Pelobates cultripes (western spadefoot toad), 212 nucleotides. NCBI's taxonomy places the organism in Eukaryota, Metazoa, Chordata, Amphibia, Anura, Pelobatidae. The record is from the annotation of a GenBank genome assembly.